GAUGAACGCUGGCGGUAUGCUUAACACAUGCAAGUCGAACGGUCACUUCGGUGAUAGUGGCGGACGGGUGAGUAACGCGUGAGAAUCUGUCUUCAGGUCGGGGACAACAGUUAGAAAUGACUGCUAAUACCGGAUGUGCCUUUGGGUGAAAGAUUUAUUGCCUGAAAAAGAGCUCGCGUCAGAUUAGCUAGUAGGUGGUGUAAGAGACUACCUAGGCUCCGAUCUGUAGCUGGUCUGAGAGGACGAUCAGCCACACUGGAACUGAGACACGGUCCAGACUCCUACGGGAGGGAGCAGUGGGGAAUUGUCCGCAAUGGGCGAAAGCCUGACGGAGCAAUACCGCGUGAGGGACGAAGGCUUUUGGGUCGUAAACCUCUUUUCUCAAGGAAGAUGAUGACGGUACUUGAGGAAUAAGCAUCGGCUAACUCUGUG
Molecule: ribosomal RNA, 432 nt
Filed under: uncultured bacterium
Lineage: Bacteria
Description: partial 16S ribosomal RNA
Rfam family: Bacterial small subunit ribosomal RNA
Source: RNAcentral